CGAAAGCCUGACGGAGCAACGCCGCGUGAGGGAUGAAGGCCUCUGGGCUGUAAACCUCUUUUCUCAAGGAAGAAGAACUGACGGUACUUGAGGAAUAAGCCACGGCUAAUUCCGUGCCAGCAGCCGCGGUAAUACGGGAGUGGCAAGCGUUAUCCGGAAUUAUUGGGCGUAAAGCGUCCGCAGGCGGCCGUACAAGUCUGUCGUUAAAGCGUGGAGCUUAACUCCAUUUCAGCGAUGGAAACUGUAAGGCUUGAGUGUGGUAGGGACAGAGGGAAUUCCCGGUGUAGCGGUGAAAUGCGUAGAUAUCGGGAAGAACACCAGUGGCGAAGGCGCUCUGCUGGGCCAUAACUGACGCUCAUGGACGAAAGCCAGGGGAGCGAAAGGGAUUAGAUACCCCUGUAGUCCUGGCCGUAAACGAUGAACACUAGGUGUCGGGGGAAUCGACCCCCUCGGUGUCGUAGCCAACGCGUUAAGUGUUCCGCCUGGGGAGUACGCACGCAAGUGUGAAACUCAAAGGAAUUGACGGGGGCCCGCACAAGCGGUGGAGUAUGUGGUUUAAUUCGAUGCAACGCGAAGAACCUUACCAGGGUUUGACAUCCUGCGAACCUCCUGGAAACGGGAGGGUGCCUUCGGGAACGCAGAGACAGGUGGUGCAUGGCUGUCGUCAGCUCGUGUCGUGAGAUGUUGGGUUAAGUCCCGCAACGAGCGCAACCCACGUCGUUAGUUGCCAGCAUUAAGUUGGGCACUCUAGCGAGACCGCCGGUGAUAAACCGGAGGAAGGUGUGGAUGACGUCAAGUCAUCAUGCCCCUUACAUCCUGGGCUACACACGUACUACAAUGCUACGGACAAAGGGCGGCGAACUCGCGAGAGCCAGCAAAUCCCAUAAACCGUGGCUCAGUUCAGAUCGUAGGCUGCAACUCGCCUACGUGAAGGAGGAAUCGCUAGUAAUCGCAGGUCAGCAUACUGCGGUGAAUACGUUCCCGGGCCUUGUACACACCGCCCGUCACACCAUGGAAGUUGGCCACGCCCGAAGUCGUUACUCCAACCCUUGUGGAGGAGGACGCCGAAGGUGGGGCUGAUGACUGGGGUGAAGUCGUAACAAGGUAGCCGUACCGGAAGGUGCGGCUGGAUCACCUCCUAACAGGGAGACA
This 1152-nucleotide ribosomal RNA is filed under the name uncultured cyanobacterium. RNAcentral's name for it is "bacterial SSU rRNA". It matches the Rfam family "Bacterial small subunit ribosomal RNA", at positions 376 to 1533 of the family's 1533-position model. The record is from RNAcentral. Lineage: Bacteria; Bacillati; Cyanobacteriota.